UGUGGCCAAACCACACUGAAUACGCCCGAUCUCUUCAGCUCGCGGAGGUUAAGCAGGGUUUAGUCUGCUUCAUACUUUCGAUGGCAUAGACUGCCUGGACAU
RNAcentral lists this ribosomal RNA (102 nucleotides) under Petromyzon marinus (sea lamprey). The record is from RNAcentral. Lineage: Eukaryota; Metazoa; Chordata; Hyperoartia; Petromyzontiformes; Petromyzontidae.